Aedes albopictus (Asian tiger mosquito) is the source of this 118-nucleotide non-coding RNA. The record is from Rfam. Lineage: Eukaryota; Metazoa; Arthropoda; Insecta; Diptera; Culicidae.
UGCCCAGCAACUCCUAUCCCUACCUCCUCGCGGUACCGAUCGGAAACUAUGAGCAACCUUAGGGAAGAUCGGGUAACCAACCCCGGUGGGAACUUUGGUCGUAGGCUGAUAGGGAAGG